UACAUCUACAUGAAAUUUUUAUACUGAUGUCCAGCCAUAAAAGCACUAUAUUGUAUAGUAAAUCCGGUUUGUAAGGUAAUUAUAUACGCAAACGUGUAAUUAUUUCACUCCUAUAUAUGAGCCGCGCCAUGGGAAAACCAACAUAGUGAGUUUGCGACCAGCAUGGAUCCAGACCAGCUUGCACAUCCGCUUUCAAAGUUCAUGCAAUUAGAGAAACUGUAAGUGAACAGCAUGGAUCCUGACCAGACUGCGCGGAUGCGCAGGCUUGUCUGGAUCCAUGCUGGUCGCAAAGCCACUAUGUAAGUUUUCUUAUGGCGCGGCUCAUAUGUAAUUGUGACCUAACGCUAUUGAGAUAUCGAUACAAAAUGUCAGUAUGAACAGAAUAACAAAAUUGGUCAUAUGUAUAGAGAAAACGUGUGUUCUAAAUCUUUUUAUUAAAUAUCCAUUAAAAAGUCGACUUAAAAUUACGCAAACAGGACUUCAUUAAGUAAGAUCAGUAAAUAAUGAAAACCAUUUGAUGUACCACGCCCUAUUUUAUUCGAUUUGCAAUAUUAAAGAUAUGUAAAAAUAUUAUCUUAAAUUACAGACAUUAAAUUAGGGCCGCGUUUAAGCAAACAGUACAAGUUAAUUCUCAAAUUAUUUUUCACUGCAAAAUAGGGUUUGAUAGAUGCAGCCUACUUUUUAAUGACAUUGAAGUACGUCCUUGUAUUAAUUAGAUUAUAGGCCUAUCACACGUAUAAUAUAAUAGUUCGCCGUAAUGUUAUUUUAUUUUCUUGAGAGACUUAAAAAAUUCCAGUGUAUUUUCCGACCUUUCUAAAAUUGCCUUAGCACAUGAUCCAUAUGAAAAUAACUAAUCAAAUAUAAAAUAACACAAACUCUCAUGAACUAACUUGAUCUAUUAAAUGCGGUUUUAAUAAAAACAGAUGUUUCACAUUGUUUUCAAAUGAUUUGUAGACAUCAUUAACAAGUGUUUUAAUAUUAGGCCCCAUUUGUUUUGUUUAAUGAGAUUAUUUAAGGAAAUUACUUCAAUCUGUUAAUUUAUAAUUUACGUUCUCUGCGAGGAGAUUGGUAACUAACUAACUAUAUGUGUUUUCCCUUGUUUUCUUGCUAUCAGAAAAGAACCCCAGCCAAUUAUAAAAAAAACUUAAAGAAAUUACUCAAGAGCGCGUAAGGGUAAUAUCAUAUUUUGAGACCUUUAUCGCACGUGUUUAACCUUUAGCCUGCUGGUGGCAAGUGAUUCUGCCAAAAUCAGCCUGCACGGAUCAUAGUCUGCACUGUUCGCUAUUCAGUCAAUAAAUUUUAAGUAAACACCCCUCUGAAUCAUAAGUGGUACUGCCCAAAUUUAAUGAUGGACCGGUCUAUUUUCGAAAUUUCGCAGGGUAAGCGUUAAACAUACGAAGCUGAAUCAGAGAAUACUAGGAAAAUGAAAUUAAUGGGGAUAAUAAGCCAGCUACUCGCUAGGUGGCGAUGGUAAAAUAAGGGGUAAACAAUGCUGACCCAGAUUCUUAUCUCAAAUGGAUUCUUAGUGGACAUCAAAAUAUUUUGGAUGGAAAGUUAUACAAUUACAGAGAGAAUUAAUAAAAAGAAGGGCAUCAGUCAAAGGCAGAAAGGAAGAUUUGUUAACAAGACUUGAAGCAUAUGACAGAAAUCAAGAUUUCCGGAAUGAACCUAUUCUCCUACCAGAACCUCAGGAUUCAGACUGGUCCACUGAAGGGUUUCAUCAACUGCAAGCAGACCAUAGGAUCCACUUCCCUAAAUUGGGAAGCAAUAUGAAAAAAACAGCAAUUAAGAAAUUUGAAAAGCAUACAGAAUAUAGUGUCAACAACUGCGGUUUAUUUACAUGUAGAGAAAGUCCAUAUCUGGCUGCAACACCCAGACAAUAGUUGAGGUGAAAUGUCCAUAUGCUGGGAAAGAGGCAAUUAUCCAACCUUGAAAUUUUUUUCCAUACUUGGAUUAUACGGACGAAAAAAUGGAGCUAAAGAACUUCAAACUACUAUUAUCAGAUACAGUGACAGAUGUAUAUAUAUAUUGCUUCUUCGUUGUGUAUACAUUCAAGGAUAUGUUUGUACAAAAAGUUGAACUAGAUCAUGAGUACUGUAACACACCAUUUUACCAAAGCUAGAACUGUUCUACAAAAUGUAUCUGUGGAAAUAUAUAGCUGAACAUUUGUGAAAUAACAUUGAUGAUGAUUAAUGUAGACAUUUGCAGUACAAUAUGAUAUUCAGUCUAUGAAAUGCUAUUAUGCAUUUGAUAAAUAAUUGUUUGUAGUUGAAUUAAAUAUAUAACAGUCCAGCAUCAAUAGUUCAUAUUUCUUGGUAUUUCUGCACAAAACAAUAAUAGUUAUGCAAGUUUACCAAAAAUACAGUUACCGAAAUUAGCUAUGUUGAAGUACACAAAUGUAAUCCUUGAUUAAGUUUUGUUUUUGGCAAGUUCAAGAUCUUAAUAUUUUGAAACAAUAUCGUGUUUACUGGGUUGCCACAGUCUUGUCUUUUUCCCAGGAUCUGCUAUUUUUACCGCUACUCUCCAUAAAUCCUUUAAAUGUUGUUCUUUUGGAAAAUGAAUUCCUCCAUAACCCUUACAUAGUGGUACACAACAAUACUGAACCAUAAUCAAAUUCUUAUUAGUUUCAUCUAUGAACUACUCAAAAAUCCUUUAAAUAAAUGUAUUUAAGUACUUAUUUGACUAUUUUCUAAAAUUUUAUUUUGUUCUGGGUCAAAUACCAAGGAAAUUGCAAAUUAAUUAGUGUUUAGGGUCAAAUACCUAGGAAAUUACAAAUAAAUUAGUGUUUAUUAUGCAGAAUCUCGACUACAUUCUAUAGUAAAUCUAAGGUCAGACAAGAUAAUGUUUACCCUUUAUUUCACCAGCGCCCUCUGUGGAGAUAUCCAGAGGUAACUCUGUUCUUAUUAUCCCCAUUGGUAUGAGGAAGCUGUGAUAUGUACAUGAAUUUUCGUCGGCAUUCAGUUGGUGUUCCGUAAAAUUAUGUCAAAUAGACGACGGAAAACACUUCAAUGCCCACUGUGACCGAAUUCUCAGGCUGCUGCUACAAACGGUCUUCAAUAAUUGACCAGUUAAUAUUUAUAUGAUCACUAAAGUUUUUGUCUUAGAUAAAGGACCAGACCUUUUAAUGCAUGUAGUUUUAAAAAAUAUCUGUUUAUUUCCACAAAUGUUACCUUGUUAGAACUCAAGCAGUGCGUGCUAUGUUCUCUGAAGGUUAUUUGAUAUAAUGCCGUCUUUAUGAAUUGUUAAGUUUGCAAUAUUUGAUUGAUCAAUGCCGUUUCAAAGAUGGAAUUAAUUGCACUUGUACUGAAAGGAUAUCAAUUAAGUGGCAAAGAAAUACUUUUCUAUAGUAAUCAAUACACUCAAUUCAUAAGUCAAAAAUAAUUAAAUUAUUUUAUUCCAGUUUAUUCAAUGCGAAAUGGUUUACUUUGAAACAGGAGUUCAAUCGGAUGUUUUGACAUCUUUGAAAGUACACUGGGUAUGACAUUCUAAUCAAUAUGUAAUACGGUUACGAAAAUGUUGUUGUUGUUCUUUUUUGAUGUUGUUUUUCAAUUAAUAUUUAUUAUUGCGUGGGCAGGUUAUUGUGUCGAUUCUGUUAUGAACGUAAACUUGAUGCGAUUGCGCUUUGUUGUUUCAUAUUAAAGGUCUACAGUCUAAAGGUCUCUGCCACACGGGUUACAAAUAUUGGCACUGUCGCUUUUUCUUUACUGGUGCUGAGAAAAAAAACAGGG
This is a long non-coding RNA of Mercenaria mercenaria, 3728 nucleotides long. RefSeq lists it as uncharacterized. The record is from RefSeq and is a predicted model, not a curated record. Lineage: Eukaryota; Metazoa; Mollusca; Bivalvia; Venerida; Veneridae. The transcript has 2 exons.